RNAcentral lists this ribosomal RNA (497 nucleotides) under uncultured bacterium. Its description in RNAcentral is "partial 16S ribosomal RNA". It matches the Rfam family "Bacterial small subunit ribosomal RNA", at positions 28 to 507 of the family's 1533-position model. The record is from RNAcentral.
GAUGAACGCUGGCGGCGUGCCUAAUACAUGCAAGUCGAGCGAACAGACGAGGAGCUUGCUCCUCUGACGUUAGCGGCGGACGGGUGAGUAACACGUGGAUAACCUACCUAUAAGACUGGGAUAACUUCGGGAAACCGGAGCUAAUACCGGAUAAUAUAUUGAACCGCAUGGUUCAAUAGUGAAAGACGGUUUUGCUGUCACUUAUAGAUGGAUCCGCGCCGCAUUAGCUAGUUGGUAAGGUAACGGCUUACCAAGGCAACGAUGCGUAGCCGACCUGAGAGGGUGAUCGACCACACUGGAACUGAGACACGGUCCAGACUCCUACGGGAGGCAGCAGUAGGGAAUCUUCCGCAAUGGGCGAAAGCUUGACGGAGCAACGCCGCGUGAGUGAUGAAGGUCUUCGGAUCGUAAAACUCUGUUAUUAGGGAAGAACAAAUGUGUAAGUAACUAUGCACGUCUUGACGGUACCUAAUCAGAAAGCCACGGCUAACUACGUG